Molecule: ribosomal RNA, 472 nt
Filed under: uncultured bacterium
Lineage: Bacteria
Description: bacterial SSU rRNA
Rfam family: Bacterial small subunit ribosomal RNA
Source: RNAcentral
UGGGGAAUUUUGGACAAUGGGGGCAACCCUGAUCCAGCCAUGCCGCGUGAGUGAAGAAGGCCUUCGGGUUGUAAAGCUCUUUCGGCGGGGACGAAACGGUUCGUGUUAACACCACGGACUAAUGACGGUACUCGCAGAAGAAGCACCGGCUAACUACGUGCCAGCAGCCGCGGUAAUACGUAGGGUGCAGGCGUUAAUCGGAAUUACUGGGCGUAAAGCGUGCGCAGGCGGCUCCUUAAGUCAGAUGUGAAAUCCCCGGGCUUAACCUGGGAACUGCGUUUGAAACUGAGGGGCUAGAGUGUGGAAGAGGGGGGUGGAAUUCCAGGUGUAGCAGUGAAAUGCGUAGAUAUGUGGAGGAACACCGAUGGCGAAGGCAGCCCCCUGGGUUAACACUGACGCUCAUGCACGAAAGCGUGGGGAGCAAACAGGAUUAGAUACCCGUGUAGUCCCUGAGCGGGCUGGCAAGGCGCAU